Molecule: ribosomal RNA, 423 nt
Filed under: uncultured prokaryote
Description: bacterial SSU rRNA
Rfam family: Bacterial small subunit ribosomal RNA
Source: RNAcentral
UAGGGCAUAUUGGUCAAUGGGCGCAAGCCUGAACCAGCCAUCCCGCGUGCAGGAAGACGGUCCUAUGGGUUGUAAACUGCUUUUCCAGGGAGAGAAACUUGCGUACGCGUUGCGCAAUUGACGGUACCCUGGGACUAAGCAUCGGCUAACUCCGUGCCCGCAGCCGCGGUAAUACGGAGGAUGCGAGAGUUAUCCGGAUUCAUUGGGUUUAAAGGGUGCGUAGGCGGACUAUUAAGUCAGUGGUGAAAUCCUGCAGCUUAACUGCAGAACUGCCAUUGAUACUGAUAGCCUUGAGUUUGGUUAAGGUAGGCGGAAUGUGUAAUGUAGCGGUGAAAUGCUUAGAUAGUACACAGAACACCAAUUGCGUAGGCAGCUUACUGGGCCGACACUGACGCUGAGGCACGAAAGCGUGGGGAUCGAACA